UACGGAGGAUCCAAGCGUUAUCCGGAAUCAUUGGGUUUAAAGGGUUCGUAGGCGGUUUAGUAAGUCAGUGGUGAAAGCCCAUCGCUCAACGGUGGAACGGCCAUUGAUACUGCUAAACUUGAAUUAUUAGGAAGUAACUGGAAUAUGUAGUGUAGCGGUGAAAUGCUUAGAGAUUACAUGGAAUACCUAUGGCGAAGGCAGGUUACUGGUAAUGGAUUGACGCUGAUGGACGAAAGCUUGGGUAGCGAACAGG
This 253-nucleotide ribosomal RNA is filed under the name uncultured bacterium. RNAcentral describes it as "partial 16S ribosomal RNA". It matches the Rfam family "Bacterial small subunit ribosomal RNA", at positions 524 to 776 of the family's 1533-position model. The record is from RNAcentral.